RNAcentral lists this long non-coding RNA (5233 nucleotides) under Vitis vinifera (wine grape). Its description in RNAcentral is "long non-coding RNA (VVIN_LNC007894)". Lineage: Eukaryota; Viridiplantae; Streptophyta; Magnoliopsida; Vitales; Vitaceae. The record is from RNAcentral.
GAUAACAUCCUCAUCGUCGAGUAGUUUCCAUCUAAAUUGGGUGAUUAAAUAGUGAAUUGAGACUAAGGAUUCAAUCCUCACAAACUCAUUUCCUGGACAAAUCCUCAUUCCUCCUCCAAAUGGAACAAAAUUGUAAGGUGGGAUUGAUGCUUGGUUAUCGAAUCGAGCUGGGUUGAACUUCCAUUGAUCUAUAAAGAUUUGAUCAUCCAUAUGGGUUGGACUUGCAACCCAAAACACCUAAUCAAUAAACAUGAGAAGUAGAUGAUGAGUCGAUAUUACUUGUGUUAACACAACCAUACAUACAAGUGGAAUAUACUAACACUCAAGAAUCUAUUAAUCAAAUGAAGAUAGAAGAAUUUCAUAACUUUUAUUCUUUUAUGAAACCUUAAUCAUAAGAUAGUUAAUUAUGACAUGGCCGACAUACUUGUUAUUCAAUAAAUAACCAAAAAAAAAAAAAAAACUUCAAAUCUUAUGAGUUGAUUGACUAGUUCAAUUCAUGACAUCCUCUAUGUAAUUUAACAAGAUCAUAAUCUAACAAUUUGAUAACUUGUAUGUUUGAUGAGCUCAUAAAAAUAAUGGAAACUUUGACUUACUUGCCACCCUUUAGGAAUCAAGUAGCCACCAUACUCAAAAUCUUUGAGGACUUUCCUGAAACCACCAAAUACGGGAGGGAUGAUUCUCAUAGUCUCCAUUGCUGCUUUCCAUGUGUGUUUCAUCUUAGAAAGAUCAUCCCAAUUGAGAAGCUCUCCAGAAACUUUGGUCUUUGCUAUUUCUUCAUGCUCUGCAGAUGAGGAAACCAAUUAUCACAAUACAUCAAUCCUUAAUUAACAUAUGAUCAAAUACAAUUGCAUCUAUAUAUGGCUAUAUAUAUAUAUAUAUGUAUGUAUGUAUGUAUAGACUCGUCUUUAUAUGCUACAGGAUAUCACAAUGGCUUUACCAUGGACAAUAGCAUCAUAAGCGACCGGGUCUUUCGCUAGGAACCAUAGCAGGAAAGUUAAAAGGCUUGUUGAAGUCUCAUGUCCAGCAAACAUGACAACAAUAGCAUUAUCCAAAAUCUCUUCUUCGGUCAUUGCGCUCGUCUCAUCUGGACUGCUUUGGUGCUGGAUGUUGAGCAUGCAAGUGAUGAAAUCAUCCUGUGGGGAAGCUUGCUCUAGCUCCAUUGCUGAUCUCUUCUCGUGUAUGAGCUCACUAACCACUCUUCUGAUCCUUCUGCUUGCUUUUAGGCCAUUACUGAACCGAGUGAAUGGCAGAUUUAUUGGUACAGACCAUAGGCCUUGUGUGAAGAGGUGAAAAUCAUGAAUAAGCAUCUCCCUAUCCUUCCCUUGUUCUAGACCAAAUAGAAGAGAGCAUAUGAUAUCAAACAUGAGCUGCUUCAUCAUCGGAUAAACCUGCAGGAUCAAGAAAAGUAGCACUACUUCCCUCAUUAUCAUUAAUACAAAAUUUGCUAAUUAAUGGGUCGAAUUAAGGCUUACCUUGACUGUUUGGUGGCCCUUCCAAUUCAUGUCAAGAUGUUGCCUAACCACUCCAUCAAUCUUCCCAACAUACUUCUUCAAGGAUUCAGGCUUCAAGAACAUCCCAAUUGCACCCCUUACUCUUCUGUGAUCUUCACCUCUCAACUCUGUCAAACUCUUAUCCCCCAAUAUCCUUCUAAUAGGCUGAGGUUGCUGGUUCGCCAGAAUCACCCCAUCAUUAGUGAAUAUGAACUUGUUUGCAGCUGCCCCACUGAGAAGAACAGUAGGAGUCCCAAAGAGGCUGAGCUUGGACACUGCCCCAUACUUCUGAAUUCUACUUUGAAGCCAUUUUUCACCUGUGUUUUUUCUCAGAGCAUGUAAGAAGCUGAAGCUUUGGCCUAUGAUGGGGAUGCCUAGAGAACCAGGAGGAAGCUUUUGAGAUACCCCCCUUCUUUCUCUAAGAAAAAGUAUGAUGAAGAUUGGAAGAAGGAAGAUCAACAGAAGGUUGAAGAUUGACAUUGCAGUACUGUUGAUGGCGGAAGGACAUGAGAGACAAAAAGUGGUGAAGCUUUUGCAGUCCAAAAAUGUUUAUUUAUUAUGAUAUCCUCUAUGCUUUCGAUUUGAAUCUGACCAUUUUUUAAUAUGAUGUAUAAUGUUUAUGUUAGUGUCCUCUUUUUAUUUAUUUAUUUUCUUGCUAUUGUUUUUGCUGUCUAUCACCUGUCUCUUUUGUUUGUUGCUAUAUUAUAUGUAUGUGUGUGUCCAUUUUUUAGUAUGAUAUAUAAUGUUUAUGUUAGUGUCCUCUUUUUAUUUAUUUAUUUAUUUGCUAUUGUUUUUGUUGUCUAUCACUUGUCUCUUUUGUUUGAUAUAUAUAUAUAUAUAUAUAACAUUCACUUUCUUACUUUUGAUAUGGUUAUAUCGUUUAUUAGUGAUGGUAGGAAACAUUUUUAUUUCAAAUAAAAAUGUUUUCUAAAUUUUAUUGAACUAACUAAUUUUUUUUUUUUAAAAUACUUUUUAUAUUAAAAAUGAUUCCUAAAAUCAUUAUCUAACCGAUUAUAAAAGAACUUUUAAUAAUGUUUCUGUUUAAAGUGUUUUAUUUAUAAAUAUUUUUAAAAUAAUUAUUCAUCAAGUAUUUCUUCGAUUUUACUGAUCCAACUGUUAAUGAAUUUCUUUAGAAGUAGUUCUCACAAUAGUGGUUUUAGUCAAAUAGCAUAUUUCUAUGGAAGCCAUUUUAUAAAGAAUUAAUUAUUAGAUAUAAAUAAAAUUUAUUUUCAUAAUAUUUUUGAUAAUAAAUUGAAUAAAAAUGAAUUUUCAAAGAAAUAUUUAUUAAAUAUUUUUUAGGAUUUUAAAAUUAUUUUGUUCAUACUAGCUUUAGCCAUAUUUCAAGAAUUUUUUUUUAUUUAAAAAAAGGUAAUUUAAACAAAAUUUAGAAAAAUUAAAUAUUGUGUACCACUUAUAGAUUAUGGAAGAAGCUACUAACAAUAUAUAUGCAAUGAACCCAUUUUAUUAUGGAGUCGUGUUUCGAAAUGUGAGGGUUUAUGAAUCAAAAGUGGAUAAUAUUCACACAAGAGGAAGAUGAUGUUUGUUUUUUUUUUUUUUAGUUUUUUGCUAAAAGUAAUUUACUUUCAAACUUUACAUUAUUUGCUUUUUUAUUUUUUUUAUGACUUAUUAUAAAAACAAAUAAUCUAAUAUAAUACUAUGAAGUAUCGUUUAGUUUCAACUUUUAUUUAUAAUUAAAUAAAAAAACAAAUACCAUUAAAGUAAAUUAUUUCAAAUAAUAUUAGAGUCGAUCAUCAAACUUAAUAUUAAAGUCUAUUUGUUUGGUCCAUUGUGAGGACAUAAAAAUAAAUUAUAUAGUUAAGAAGUAAUAUAUCAUCAUACUAUCAACAUUACUUGUUUAGUUAUUAUUAUAGUUUAAUUUUCAUCUCAAUGUCAACAAACAAAUAUUCACAUUUAAAUUAGUUAUUUCAAUGGAAAAAUCAGAAAUUAAUAUUUCUCAAUUUUUUUUCUUUUUUUUUUUGGCCCUUUCUAGUAUACAUGAUAAUCAAUUAAAAUUUCAAACUUUCCCAAAUUUCCUUCUUGUUUCUUUUCCUUUCUCUCAAACCAAAUAGACUAUGUAACCAAAGAAAAAAGGAAGAAACAUAUUCAUUCAUUAGGAGAGUGUUCACACUAAAGUUGAUCAUUGAUUUUUUCAACAUCUCAUGUUGAUAUCAUUCCUUAUCUUUAGACAAAUGGUCCCAAGCUUGGCUAAAGGAGGAGGGCCAUAUGCUUAGCAGGUUGGGACAAACACAUUUGCCUUGGUGAAUAUGCCCUCUUUGUCUUCACAUUUGGUCCCAAUUGUGUACUUUCCAACUCUUUGGAUGUGAAAUUUGUCAUCUAAUUCCUCUUAAAUAUUCUUCUUCCAUAACCAUCUUUUUUUUACUUGGAAAAUGUUAAGCAACCUAUUCAACAAUAAACUGGAUUAAAUAUAUAUGAUGAAAUUUAGGUUAUUGAAUAAGCAUACAAAUAAAUAAAAGUUAAGUAUACGGGUAAAAAUAUAUGAGAUUAAGAUAUAAAUAAUGAAACUUAAAAAUAUAUACGUGAUACCACUUGAUUAGUGAUAUUUUUUUCGAUAGGUAUUGAAAAAUUACACUUUUAUAUUGUGGUUAGACCCUUAUAAUUUUUCUCAUCUUUUACUAGGGCCGAUUAUAAUGAUCUUAUUAGAUACAAGAGCCACUAUAAUAAUUUACUAAUUAUAUUGAAGUUAAGUUACCAAUUAAUCUAAAAGCUUAUGUCAAUGUUAGACAACCGGUUAAAUAUUAUAUAUUGUACAGACUUGUUUAGAUUAAAACUCAAAACUUCAUCUUAUGAACAACUUUCUUUUGAGGUUUGCAUUAAACUUUUAAUUUAUCUAUGUUAAAUUUUAGUAAAGUCUCAAAGAAAAGAAAUCAAAUGUGAAGUAAAAUGAUUUUCUUAUAUAAUGAAAAUAGGAAAGAAAUUAAAUAUAAUUAAAAAUUAGUUAUGAAUUUAUAUAUUUUCAAAUAUUUAAUUUUAAUAAUAGUAGGUGAAAUGAUUUUUAAAAAGUAUGUAAAAAUAAUUUAUUAACUUUAAUUUUCUUUUAUUUUUCUUCAUUUUUAAAAAAAUUUCUUAUCAUGUACAUCAUAUUAACUUUAAAUUUAACAUCUCGCUUUAAGAACUUUGUUUUUAAACAACUUUUUUAAAGUUACAUGUGAGUUCAAUUACUUUGAUAAAAUUAUGACCAUGACUUCUUAGUUAUAUAAUAAGACUUCAAUGUAAUAAAUUAAAUACUUAAUCUUAUCAACUUUUUAUUAUUGUGAAGAAGGCUAAAUAUUCUCUUAGUUUACAUGUGACAAGUACUAGAACAUGGAGGAGAAUCCCAAGAAGGUAAAUGUUUUCACUUUAUAGCUAAAAACAACAUGGUGUGAAGAUUACAACAUUGCAAUGACUAAAAACAAUAUAUAUAGAUCUUAAAAUUACAUCUAUCUAUGGUGCAAUCUUUGGCUCAAGAUAGACUAAUAGUCCUUGUUGAGGUAUUGGCAUUGGAUCCCUAAUGAUAACAUCCUCACCGUCGAGUAGUUUCCAUCUAAAUUGGGUGAUUAAAUAGUGAAUUGAGACUAAGGAUUCAAUCCUCACAAAUUCAUAUCCUGGACAAAUCCUCAUUCCUCCUCCAAAUGGAACAAAAUUGUAAGGUGGGAUUGAUGUCUGGUUAUCGAAUCGAGCCGGGUUGAAUUUCCAUUGAUCUAUAAAGAUUUGAUCAUCCAUAUGGGUUGGACUUGCAGCCCAGA